CCCUUAGAUGUUCUGGGCUGCACGCGCGCUACACUGAUGCACUCAACGAGUUUACGACCUUGCCCGAUAGGGUUGGGUAAUCUUUUUAAAAUGCAUCGUGAUGGGGAUAGAUUAUUGCAAUUAUUAAUCUUCAACGAGGAAUUCCUAGUAAGCCCGAGUCAUCAGCUCGUGCUGAUUACGUCCCUGCCCUUUGUACACACCGCCCGUCGCUCCUACCGAUUGAGUGCUCAGGUGAAUAAUUCGGACUGCAGCAAUGUUUGGAUCCCGAACGUUGCAGCGGAAAGUUUAGUGAACCUUAUCACUUAGAGGAAGGAGAAGUCGUAACA
Molecule: ribosomal RNA, 326 nt
Filed under: uncultured eukaryote
Lineage: Eukaryota
Description: partial 18S ribosomal RNA
Rfam family: Eukaryotic small subunit ribosomal RNA
Source: RNAcentral